CCUACGGGUGGCAGCAGUGAGGAAUAUUGGUCAAUGGGCGCGAGCCUGAACCAGCCAAGUAGCGUGAGGGAAGACGGUCCUAUGGAUUGUAAACCUCUUUUGUCGGGGAGAAAAGGAAGCCACGCGUGGCGUUCCGAGAGUACCCGAAGAAAAAGCAUCGGCUAACUCCGUGCCAGCAGCCGCGGUAAUACGGAGGAUGCGGGCGGUAUCCGGAUUUAUUGGGUUUAAAGGGUGCGCAGGCGGAAGAUCAAGUCGACGGUAAAAGUUGGGGGCCAAACCUCUUGGUGCCGUUGAAACUGGUUUUCUUGAGUGAGUGAGAAGUAUGCGGAAUGCGUGGUGUAGCGGUGAAAUGCAUAGAUAUCACGCAGAACUCCGAUUGCGAAGGCAGCAUACCGGCGCUCAACUGACGCUCAUGCACGAAAGUGUGGGUAUCGAACAGGAUUAGAUACCCCUGUAGUC
This 459-nucleotide ribosomal RNA is filed under the name uncultured bacterium. RNAcentral's name for it is "partial 16S ribosomal RNA". It matches the Rfam family "Bacterial small subunit ribosomal RNA", at positions 338 to 795 of the family's 1533-position model. The record is from RNAcentral.